GACGAACGCUGGCGGCGUGCUUAACACAUGCAAGUCGAACGGAAAGGCCCUGCUUUUGUGGGGUGCUCGAGUGGCGAACGGGUGAGUAACACGUGAGUAACCUGCCCUUGACUUUGGGAUAACUUCAGGAAACUGGGGCUAAUACCGUAUAGGAGCUCCUGCUCCAUGGUGGGGGUUGGAAAGUUUCGGCGGUUGGGGAUGGACUCGCGGCUUAUCAGCUUGUUGGUUGGGUAGUGGCUUACCAAGGAAUUGACGGGUACCCGGCCUUAGAGGGUGGACGGCGACAUUGGGACUGAGAUACGGCGCAGACUGCUACGGGAGGCAGAAGUGGGGAAUAUUGAACAAUGGGCGGAAGCCUGAUGAAGCAACGCCGGGUGCGGGAUGACGGCCUUCGGGUUGUAAAACGCUUUCGCCUGUGACGAAGCGUGAGUGACGGUAAUGGGUAAAGAAGCACCGGCUAACUACGUG
Molecule: ribosomal RNA, 468 nt
Filed under: uncultured bacterium
Lineage: Bacteria
Description: partial 16S ribosomal RNA
Rfam family: Bacterial small subunit ribosomal RNA
Source: RNAcentral